UUUAACAAAAACAUGUCCUUUUGAGAUAGAUUUAAGGUCGGGCCUGCCCCCUGCUAUGGAAUUAAAGGGCCGCGGUAUUUUGACCGUGCAAAGGUAGCAUAAUCAUUAGUCUUUUAAUUGAAGGCUGGAAUGAAUGGUUUGACGAAACAUUAACUGUCUCUUUAUAAUAAAUAUAAUUUAACUUCUGAGUUAAAAGGCUUAGAUGACUAUAAAAGACGAGAAGACCCUAUAGAUCUUUAUACAGGGAUAUAUCUAUUUUAUUUAGGUAAAUUUUUGAGUUGGGAUAUGAUUGUAUUUUGUUGGGGUGACAUGAAGAUAAAAAUAACUCUUUAUUAUUAAUACAUUGAUUUAUGAAUAAUUGAUCCWUUAUUAGUGAUUAUAAGAUAAAGUU
Molecule: ribosomal RNA, 391 nt
Filed under: Psorodonotus ebneri
Lineage: Eukaryota; Metazoa; Arthropoda; Insecta; Orthoptera; Tettigoniidae
Description: partial 16S ribosomal RNA
Rfam family: Archaeal large subunit ribosomal RNA (bases 1-202)
Source: RNAcentral